AGUGAACGCUGGCGGUAGGCCUAACACAUGCCAGUCGAACGGCAGCACAGUAAGAGCUUGCUCUUACGGGUGGCGAGUGGCGGACGGGUGAGGAAUACAUCGGAAUCUACUUUUUCGUGGGGGAUAACGUAGGGAAACUUACGCUAAUACCGCAUACGACCUACGGGUGAAAGCAGGGGAUCUUCGGACCUUGCGCGAUUGAAUGAGCCGAUGGCGGAUUAGCUAGUUGGCGGGGUAAAGGCCCACCAAGGCGACGAUCCGUAGCUGGUCUGAGAGGAUGAUCAGCCACACUGGAACUGAGACACGGUCCAGACUCCUACGGGAGGCAGCAGUGGGGAAUAUUGGACAAUGGGCGCAAGCCUGAUCCAGCCAUACCGCGUGGGUGAAGAAGGCCUUCGGGUUGUAAAGCCCUUUUGUUGGGAAAGAAAAGCAGCAGGUUAAUACCCCGCUGUUCUGACGGUACCCAAAGAAUAAGCACCGGCUAACUUCGUG
This 492-nucleotide ribosomal RNA is filed under the name uncultured bacterium. RNAcentral's name for it is "partial 16S ribosomal RNA". It matches the Rfam family "Bacterial small subunit ribosomal RNA", at positions 29 to 507 of the family's 1533-position model. The record is from RNAcentral.